UUCACCUCUACCAAUUCUGAUGAUUUAACAGAAAUGCCUAUUCAGAGCUAUCCAGAAAAAGGAGUUGCUGGUGGUGUCAUCUCAUGUACUCACACUGGGCAUGGAGAAGCCUACAGGCUGCUCUGGGUUACGCUGUGUUUCUCAUCUCAAUCUUGAAGCCCUGCUGUGGGAGGUGGUAAACGAGGAUGAACCAAUCACAUACCAUCGAUCCAACACAGCUUUUGGUCAGUGUUUUGCUUCAUGAAGAGGACAGGAAUUAAACCACACACAGUGGAAAAGAAUCUACAGCCUGCAAGGAGCCCACCCUGGAGCUGGUUUAUGCAGUCACACUGCAGCCCAUGGAAAGGACCCAUGCUGGAGCAAGGGAAAAGCGUGAGGAAGAAGGAGCAGCAGAGAGGAGAUGUGAUGGAUGAAUCACAAACCCCUGUUCUCCAUCACCCCUGCAUCCCUCAGGAGAGGAGGCAGAAGAGCUGGGAGCCAAGGAGUGAAGCUGAGCCUGGGAAAGGGGUGCAGGAGGAAGGUGAUUGAUCUUUUUGGCUGUUUCUCACCAUCCAACUCUAUUUUUAUUUGGUAACGAAGUACAUUAAUUUUCCCCAGGUCUUGUUGUUUUGCCCAUGAUGGUAAUUGCUAAGUGAUUCCCAUGUCU
Molecule: long non-coding RNA, 646 nt
Organism: Cuculus canorus (common cuckoo)
Lineage: Eukaryota; Metazoa; Chordata; Aves; Cuculiformes; Cuculidae
Exons: 3
Source: RefSeq, a predicted model, not a curated record